This 254-nucleotide ribosomal RNA is filed under the name uncultured bacterium. RNAcentral describes it as "partial 16S ribosomal RNA". It matches the Rfam family "Bacterial small subunit ribosomal RNA", at positions 524 to 776 of the family's 1533-position model. The record is from RNAcentral.
GACGAACCGUGCGAACGUUAUUCGGAAUCAUUGGGCUUAAAGGGCGCGUAGGCGGCGGUGUAAGUUGGAAGUGAAAUCCCAUCGGCUCAACCGUGGAAUUGCUCCCAGUACUGCAUCGCUCGAGGGGGAUAGGGGUCUGCGGAACUACCGGUGGAGCGGUGAAAUGUGUUGAUAUCUGGAGGAACACCGGUGGCGAAGGCGGCAUCCUGGACCGGUAUUGACGCUGAGGCGCGAAAGCCAGGGGAGCAAACGGG